This 1775-nucleotide ribosomal RNA is filed under the name Bacillus thuringiensis. RNAcentral describes it as "partial 16S ribosomal RNA". It matches the Rfam family "Bacterial small subunit ribosomal RNA". Lineage: Bacteria; Bacillati; Bacillota; Bacilli; Caryophanales; Bacillaceae. The record is from RNAcentral.
GGACAGCUUUGGAGCCUCUAGAGUUUGAUCCUGGCUCAGUAGGUCGUAACAAGGUAACCAGUAUUGGAUCCCCUUAAGUUUGAUCCCGGGUCAAGAAGACUGAACAAGGUAAACGGAAUUUUAUCCCCUUCAGUUUUAUCUUUGGUACCGAAGGGUUAGAAAUUGAAAGGCGGCUGGUUCCCCUACUAAUGGAUGGACCCGCCUCGCAUUAGCUAGUUGGUGAGGUAACGGCUCACCAAGGCAACGAUGCGUAGCCCACCUGAGAGGGUGAUCGGCCACACUGGGACUGAGACACGGCCCAGACUCCUACGGGAGGCAGCAGUAGGGAAUCUUCCGCAAUGGACGAAAGUCUGACGGAGCAACGCCGCGUGAGUGAUGAAGGCUUUCGGGUCGUAAAACUCUGUUGUUAGGGAAGAACAAGUGCUAGUUGAAUAAGCUGGCACCUUGACGGUACCUAACCAGAAAGCCACGGCUAACUACGUGCCAGCAGCCGCGGUAAUACGUAGGUGGCAAGCGUUAUCCGGAAUUAUUGGGCGUAAAGCGCGCGCAGGUGGUUUCUUAAGUCUGAUGUGAAAGCCCACGGCUCAACCGUGGAGGGUCAUUGGAAACUGGGAGACUUGAGUGCAGAAGAGGAAAGUGGAAUUCCAUGUGUAGCGGUGAAAUGCGUAGAGAUAUGGAGGAACACCAGUGGCGAAGGCGACUUUCUGGUCUGUAACUGACACUGAGGCGCGAAAGCGUGGGGAGCAAACAGGAUUAGAUACCCUGGUAGUCCACGCCGUAAACGAUGAGUGCUAAGUGUUAGAGGGUUUCCGCCCUUUAGUGCUGAAGUUAACGCAUUAAGCACUCCGCCUGGGGAGUACGGCCGCAAGGCUGAAACUCAAAGGAAUUGACGGGGGCUUUUUAAGUUGAUGGAAAGCCCACGCUCAACCGGGGAGGGUCAUUGGAACUGGGAGGACUGAGUGCAGAAGGGAAAGUGGAUUCCCUGUGUAGCGGUGAAAUGCGUAGAGAUAUGGAGGAACCACAGUGGCGAAGGUGACUUUUUGGUCUGGUAAUGACCAUGAGGCGGGAAAGCGUGGGGAGCAAACCGGGUUAGAUACCCUGGUUGUUCCAGCCGUUAACGAUGAGUGGUUAGUGGUAGAGGGUUUCCGGCCUUUUAUGGUGAAGUUAAAGCAUUUAACAAUUCGCCUGGGGGGUUCGGGCGCCAGGGUGAAAAUCAAAGGAAUUGACGGGGGCCCGCCCCAGCGGUGGAGCCUGUGGUUUAAUUUGGAGCAACGGGAAGGACCUUUCCCGGUUUUGGCCUUCUUUGACAACCCUAGAGAUAGGGGUUUUCCUUUGGGAGCAGAAUGGCCGGUGGGGCCAGGUUGUUGUCAAGUUGGGUUGUGAGAUGUUGGGUUUAGUUCCGCAACGAGGGCCACCCCUGAUUUUAGUUGCCCUCCUUUAGUUGGGCCCUUUAAGGUGACUGCCGGUGGCAAACCGGAGGAAGGGGGGGGAGGCGUCAAAUCAUCCUUCCCCUUUAGACCUGGGGUACACAAAAACUUCCAUGGGCGGUUCAAAAAGGUGCAAGGCCGCGAGGAGGAGGUAAAAAGAAAAAAACGUUUUCUUUUCGGAGGGUUUUUCCCGGGCCCAGAAAGUGGAAAAAAAGUAACCAGUAUUGGAUCCUCAAGAGUUUGAUCCGGGCUCGUUAAGUGGUAACAAGGUAACCAGUAUUGGAUCCUCUAGAGUUUGAUCCUGGCUCAGUAAGUCGUAACAAGGUAACCAGUAUUGGUCCUCUGAGU